Molecule: long non-coding RNA, 7769 nt
Organism: Monodelphis domestica (gray short-tailed opossum)
Lineage: Eukaryota; Metazoa; Chordata; Mammalia; Didelphimorphia; Didelphidae
Source: RefSeq, a predicted model, not a curated record
AGCCAUGAUUGGACCGUGGGAGGAGUCAGCGAGAAGCUGCCCCCUCCUACGCUUUAAACUCUUUCCCUUUGGAGGCCAUACAGAAUUAUUGGUGCCUGGAGAAACAAUAAUGAAAUCUGGGAUUUUCGGAACAGCCCCGCCUCUUUUCGGAAGACCUAGGUUUAAGUUCUGCCUACGACUAGUUCUGCUCCAGUGACCUAAAGAAAUUUACCAAACCUUUCAAGUGUCUGAGCAGACAUUUAUAGCAUUGGAAACUGAAGAAAGACUAACUUUAUUUCAGCAAUGCAAUGAUCCAGGACAAUCCAGAGGAAUUUAUGAGAAAGAAUGCUAUCCACAUGCAGAGGAAGAACUGGAGGAGCAGAAAGGCAGAAGAAGAACAUAUGAUCGAUCACAUGGUUUGAUGGGGAUAUGUUUAGGGUUUUGGCAUUAAAAGAUUCUUCUAUUGAAAAUAUGAAUAAUAUAGAAAUAGGUUUUGAACAACGAUAUAUAUAAUCCAGUGGAAUUGCUCGUCAGCUCUGGGAGGGGAGAAGCAAGAGGGGAGAGAAAGAACAGGAAUCUUGUAACCAUGGAAAAAUAUUCUAAAUAAAUAAACUAAUAAAAAAUAAAACAUAGAUGGAUAUGUCAGUUAGAUUUGUGAAGCUAUCCUAAAAGUCCAUAGACUAAGGUUUGUUUUUUUUUUUUAAAGCAAUUUUAGGGAAAGAUAUCAAUGCUAACCUAGACCAGGAAAGCAGAUCUUUCAGAGAAAAUGCUGUGAGAACUAGCAUGAUUCCAGAAGGACUAAAACUAUGAUAGCACUAUAAGAUGUCCCCAGAAAUCAGACACUACAUCAUGAGAUUGAGUGAUCCUUUGGAUAUAAUGAACUGAACUAUGGGGGUUAAACCCUACAUCAACUUCUCUCCUUUACAUGUGUUGAUAUUCUAUUUUGAUUGUAAAAUGCUUGUGUCAGAAAAGUGGAAUGUUCCAUAAUAAUUCCUCUUUGUGUCCAUCCACUAUUUUUAAUAUGUUAACAAACACCUAAAUGCAAUUAGAAAUAUAUAAUAUCUUUGGGCCCUUGUAUAUCCUGAUGAGACAAUCCUGAAAUGCAUAGAUAGUAUAUAUGGAAUGAUUCAUUCAGAAAACUAACAUAUUUCCCUAUGAAUCAGAAGGGGAUCCAUGAGAAUGUAAUUUUAGCCUGCACCCCUUUUCUUUUUCUUGGUAUCCUAAGAUUGACUUAUUAAAAAAAGAAAGUUUCAUUUUGAGUUUGAAAAUAGCCAUUCUCUAAUUAAAUUAGGUUACAAUUCAGCUCUACCCUUUAAUUGAACAAGGCUUAAUUAAGAACAAGGCUUCAGACUUACAUGUCAACUUAAGGGGAACCCAAGUGCAUUCUGGGGAGAUGACAGAAGGCUUGUGGCUCCCUGCACCCUGGAAGAUACUUGCCUCUUUUCCCAUGUGACUCCUGAUGCUGGAAGAACUGCUUCUGAUCUGGUCUGAAGUUGGAGUCUGCCAAAUCAGAGGGAUUUUUGGCAAGAAUUUCAGAGUGAAACAAUGUUAGUGGGCCUGGCUCUGGAGUCUGGUGAAGGUUUGGUAAGGAAUUAACCAACCAUACAUGAUGAGAAGCCUUUUCUUUCUCUGAUCUGCUCUUUUAAUUAAUUUAAUAAUAAUUAUAAAUUAAGACACAGUUUCCAGAGAAUUUUAAUCUUAACAGAUUGGGUAUGCAAGAAACAUAGUAUGAAUACGCAGUGUCUGCAAUGAAGAGUAAAAGAAAGGAUAUCAAGUAUAAGAGUGCUGGGAAGAUAAAAUGCCAGGUUAUUGGGCUUGGAUUAUGUUUUAGUAAUUGCUGAAAAUUCUCUGGAUGGAUUGAGCCUUCACAUAGCAUGACUAUUGCCUUAAUAAUUACAAAGAAACUAUUAAAUUAUAUCUUUUUUGUUUUGUGAUUCCUUCAGAUAUCAAAUGACAGAGGGAGCCAUUUUAUAGAUCAUAUAUAUACUUAGCUCCAGUGUAGCUUAGAUUCUAAGCCUCCUUCUUCCUUCCUAACCAACAGAUAACUCCUGAAAUGCAAUAAGUUGACCCUCAUUGUCUAUUUUUUUAGACAAAAUGGGAGUUCUGGAGAGGGAAAAGAUCAACUCCAUGUGGAAGUAAAUUUGACAUUUAGACUAUUUGCUUCCACUUGUCCUCCUUAAGCCAAGCUAGAGCAGCACUUCCUACCAUACAAAUGAGCCUUGGACCCCCAUAACUGGGACUUUUAGAAUACAUGCCUCUAGUUCUUGGGGUAGCUAAUCCAUCCUUCUUUGCAAUUUUUGUCCUAUGGACUUAUACUGUUAAGAAGUAUAUGAAAACUAGGCCUUUCAGCCCAAUAUUCCUACCAAUUGGAAGAAGUCAUCAGUUUCAUAUCUCAUCCAGAUGCCCACCUAGGUCAUCUCAUAAUCUUAUUGCCACUGAAUGUCCCUGCUCAAAUUUUCUACUGUUUUAGAACAAAACUCCCUUCUUAAUCACCAGUCACAGUUAGGUUUUACCUUUUUAUUUCUCCAUAUUUAAAUAUAAGAUCCUUGAGAUCAGGAAGACUUUCUAGAUAUCUCUCUCUCUCAUUUAAAAAAAUGUGUCCCUAGCAUAUGUAACAGUGUUUGUUACAUAGUGUUUGACUUAUUUUAAUUCAUUCGCAUGAAUGUAUACAAAGCACAUAUGCUUAAAUGGUAUAUGAUGUCAGUUGAAGACCUCUAACAAUUCAGAUCACAACCCAUCCACAUCUGUCCAUCCUAUACAAUUCUCAAUCUUAUAUUACAUAAAAUUUAUCAAGUAGGGUCUGCCCAGUGUUCUGGAGGCCUUCCUCACUUUCUCUGGACAUCAAGAAGGUGCCAUUAGAAUACUCUGUCAUCCCUUGCUCUUGCCAUAUGACCAUCGAAUCAUUUUUUUCCUUUUUUCUUUUUAUAAAAAACCUUUGCCUUCCAUCUUAGCAUCAAUACUGUGUAUUGGUUCCAAGGCAGAAGAGUGGUAAGGACUAAGCAAUGGGGGUUAAAUGAUUUGCCCAGAGUCACACAGGUAGGAAGUGUCUGUGGGCACAUUUGAAUCCAGGAUUUCCCAUCUCUCAUUCUGACUGUCAAUGCACUGAACCACCUAGCUGCCCCAUAUUUAUUUCUAUCAUACAGCUCUUGAUGAACUGUUUUUCUCCAGUGUUCCUUGUUCAUAAAACGUGGAAGCCUGUUCACCCUCAAGACAUACCUUUCUGUUGUCCCCUGGUUGAUACUUUUUUUUUUUCAGAAUAAGUGGUGAUCCUGUUCUUACACCCCUAUAGCAAAAAAUAAAAAAAAAAGCUUGUGUUGAAGAGAUAGGAAAUGUGUGGUGUUUUAAAAUGUCCCAAAGCAGUCAACCCCUAUUUUUUUCUUCCUUUUUAAUUCCCAGCCAAGCUUAUUUUCCAUGGAUAUUAUCUAUCUGAUAUCAGAUAUCUAUCUGAAAUAUAUAUACUGCUGGACACGUUCUCUAAAGUGUCCGUUCAGAAGUAAACCAAAAUUUGAGCAGUGGGUAUUAUCCAUCUGUUUGAUCAUUCCUAUGUGGAUAGAGAUUAGGGUUACAUAUGAAUUAUUGAGAGAUAGAUUUUGCCUCACACUGCUUCUGUUAUGAAUAUAAUCUAUACAAAUAAAUACAAAGUACUUAAAUAUAAGGAGGGAAGGUAUUUGAAGUAGUCAAAUGUCAUACCUAGGUCAAUGCUAUUUCAUAUUUUAAUUUUAUCUUUUUUUAAAAUGAAUUUGACAGUAAGUAUGAACAUCUCCAUUGUAAAGAUUAAAAUUUAGGGAUAUGGGGAGAGACUAUGGCAGGUAGAAAUUAGUUUCUCUCUGCAAGGAGUAUUAUAUUUUUUAGAGGUUUAUUAAAGGUUAAAGAUUAAAGAAAAUACAGAAUAAGAAAAAACACGUGCCUAGGCCAGAGGCCUAGGCAAGAUAACCUCACAUCCCGGAAGGGACGCAUCUGCUCCAAAAUGGAAGUCCAAAAGAGACUCAAAAGCCUUUGUAAUCAGUUUAAAUACUUUCUCAAUCUCGCCCACCUCAGAAUUCCGUGGGAUUACAAAGCUUUUUGGGGAAGUGGAGCAAGGGCGUGUGGGGAUUGAAGUCCAGAGUUCAAAUCUCAAUUUUACAUCCCUCCAUUUGAUCCUCUGGGAAGAAGUCCUUCCCCAAAGGAUCAUAAAAACAUAAUCAAUUUAAAGAUUACAAUAAUUUGAGGAUAAGAGAAAAAAAAAGAAUAAAACCAAUAAUUGCUAGAUGCCUUGACAAAAAAACAGUUAGGGGGCAGUCCCCUUUGGCAUGAAAGUAUACAUACAAAUAAAUGUUCAAUCAACCACACCCAAAGUUCAAUUUUGUGCAACUUGUGGUCUGGAGGCUUCUUCAUGGUGGCUUCUCCAACAGUUCUGGAUUCAGAGAGGUAGAAUCUUCUUUACCUAAAAUUCUUCUCAAAAGGAAUUUAAACUUUGCAAUUUAAAUAAUGAUUUUUUUUUUACAUUCCCCCCGUUAAGAGGGUGAUUAAAAAAAAAAAAAACAGGAUCACUUAGGGAAGCAUGGCUGAGGUAUGAGGUAUAUGAAUCAAUUGGUAAGAGAUAUUAAAAGAUAUCAGAAAAAUUAAAAAGAAAAGAAAAAAUUUCUGGAUGAAAAUAUAGACUACCAAAGUCUUAUGUGUAAAAAUUCCAAGUAAAAGAAAAAUAAAUCUAUAACUGGUCCUUCAAUCAGGGCCCAAUCAAAAUGAUCUAAGCAAUGAUGAUUUACCCAGUCAAUAGCCAGGACUACAGAAAGGUACCACACUAUGAGAGGCAGAAAAGAAAGGGACCAGAUUAUAGAAGCCAAGUGGGAGCCAAGUUUGGGGAUACUCUUCUGUUUCUUCAGAGUGAGGGUGGACACAAGGAAAGCCUAUGUCUUAACACAUGUUAAACAUAGUAACCUUGAGUCUUCACACUAGAUUCAAGACCUUUGUAUUGGCCUAGAAGUGCAUCAAUCCAUCCUGGAUUGGCUUUUCUUUGGCUCUGUGUGAUGGCUCUUUUGUGUAUAUCUUGUCCUGGAAUCAGACAGAAUCAUUAAGCAAAGUCCCAUAAUUUAUUUAAAUAAUUAGUGGCAUCAUUUUUAUAGUCACAAGCUUUUUUGGGCAUGCAUUAGCAAAUGUAUUUCAAACUUGUAGCACUGAAAAGUCAAAAAGUUAAAGAAAAUCUUAAUGCUGGUGACAUGUGCUUCAAAUAUAAAAAGGAGAGAAAAAAUAAUUUAAAAAACUGAAAAAGUAUAUUGCACAUGCAAGAAAAAUAUAAUAAUAAAAGAGCUUUAAAAAAUUCAAAAAUAUAGCUUAUAAUUAUUGACACUCUGUGUCAGCUAAGAAAAUAUAAAAUGCAAUGCUUUCUCACCAAAAAUGAGAUCCAUUUCCUCUUAAUAUAUGGCCAUGAUCACUGUGAGUAGAAGGCAAAUGAAUUGAACAAGGUUAACAAUUUUUUCAUUUUUAAAAAUACAGUAGUGCAAAUAUGUAGUUAUCAAAAUCCCCAAAAUUCUCAAUAGCCCAAUUAAUUACAAUAGCAAACAAAAACAAUUUCAUAUUUCACGUAAGUUGCUGUAUGACAUUUUUAAAACCUAUGAAUUGAUGGACAUUUGUCACAAUUUUUACAAACAUAGCCAUCUUUCAACCUUGGUAUUUAAACAUAUUUUUUAAACAAAGUAAAACUCAUCUUGGGUUUAGAACAUAAUCAAGAAAUCUAUAUAUCAUUCUGGUACAAGUAAAGUAGUGAGCCGAAGAGUAUAAAUAAAGGGGUGCUCCUUUUGGAGGCUUUUUAAGGGCACAAAUGCCCUGAAAUUAACUGCCCAACUUCCAUUCACAUGUGGGAAGGUUGGGGUUUAUAAAAUACAUUUCACUUCAGCUACUAGAAUGGGCCUUACCUUGUGGUAGGGGCAGGCAAAAAUAACCAGAGAUUGUUAAAAAAAAUUCCAAAAAUCAUAUUUAAAAAACCCUUAAAAUCAUUUGAGGUAUUUAGCACAUUAAAUUUUCCUAAGGUUGUUAUACAAUUAUAACCAGUCCUGAAGUCCAUCUAUGUGAUAAUUUACAAAGUCAAAAUAGAAAGGCUGGUUUUUUUUUUCAUAAGGGCUUAAUUACAAUAAUAUUUGUUCAGCACAGUUAUAGGGGAAAAACAACAGAAUUUCAAAACUCAGUACAUUCAAAAUAAAUUCAAUCAACCUUCAGUUCAAGCAGAAUAAUAUUGAAUCCAGUAAUAUAUGAACUUAAAAUCACAAAGUUAAACCAUAACAAAAAAUGCAAUAGAAUACAGAGAUUUUUAUAAACCAUUGGAGUCUGAAAUGCCUUAGAAUAUAGCCUUUAGUCUCUUCAAAGUUCCUUGAGUAUCGCUCACAUACAGUACUUCUUCUGGUGACAUCAUCCUUUGUGUGGUGCCUUGUUCUGAGAGUAACUAGUGAGAACGAGGCACCAUGCAAAGAAUUAUGUGGCUGCACAAUGGAAGAGGUCAGCAUGGUGAGCAGCGAUCUGGGGGAGGGGAUUCUGCACUGUGUAUACUGCUGCCCUGUAUAGUGGUGGCUGUGCUGCGCCUGUGCAAGGUGUGACAGGCCCAUCACAGACAGCGCUGUAGCCUCCGCUAUCCCAGACAGUGGUAUACAAUGUCACAGGCCCAGCACCACCUCCAGUACUAUAUACAGGCACCGGAUAGCAGCGAUCUGGCCUGUGACAUCAGCAACCAUCUUUGGCAGCACUUAUGUCUGUGAACAGACUUUUUCCAGAAUGAAACAUCUGAAAUCUCCAAGCAGAUCUGGACUAACUGAUGCACACUUGCAUCACUUGUUAAGGCUAACAAUGACAAAUAUGGAACCGGACAUUGACCAUCUCAUUAGCCAAAAGCAGGCCCAUAGUUCCCAUUGAAAUACUGGUCAGUUUGUUGAUUUAAAUUUACUUGUUUUUAUUUUAAAUAUUUCAUUUGUUCCCGUUUUGGUUUUUCAUUUUAAAAUAAGAUAUGUGCAGUGUGCAUAGGGAUUUGUUCAUAGUUUUUUUUGUUUGUUUGUUUUUGUUUUUGUUUUUUAAUAAUCCAGCCCUCCAACAGUCUGAGGGACAGUGAACUGGCCCCCUGUAUAAAAAGUUUGGGACUUCCGGGUAAUCAUGGCUGCAAUCUAGACGCGGCACGCUUCCUCUCCCCAGCACCGAACGAAAUAGACUACAUCAAAGGAGCAUAAAAUCACCUUUGGAGGAACAGAAGGACUCCCCAGUACCCCACAGAGGCAAAGGUACGUGGGGCUUGAACAUUUCAACACUAAAAUAAGAAGGAAAAGCUUGCACAGAAAAGUGAACUGAGCCGCCCUUCCCCCACCCCACCUCCCCCACUAAACCAGAGUGAGCUACCUGAGCGCUCACCGGGACAGCGAGUGAGUGGGGAGCGUCUCUGUCUGGGGGGGCACUCCAGGGUCCUUGGGAUCUGGGGACUGCCAGGAAAAAACGUCUCAGGGCGCUUUCACUGGAGAAGCCAGCGGACUUCGGGCGGGCUGCGCUGAACAAGGCGCGCUGAUUAUCUGGGCGGAGCUGAAUACCUGGGCUCAGCUGAAUACCUGGGCUCGGAGGCUGGGAAGAACUAGUCUGAAGCAACCUAAAUUCACAGAAAAACCACUCUUAUAACCCAGACCCCAGACCAAAAAGGAAAGGGAAAUAAAACCACCAAAGGGAUGGCUCACAUGGCCCAAAAUCAAGCCUCCAGGAAGAAAGGGAAAAAAGUGACUAUUGAAAACUUUUAUGGUGGAAGUACCCAAGGAAAAGAGGAGAAUGAGGAGGAAAUCCAAAAAAAU